This 1719-nucleotide long non-coding RNA is filed under the name Homo sapiens (human). Its description in RNAcentral is "novel transcript". The record is from RNAcentral. Lineage: Eukaryota; Metazoa; Chordata; Mammalia; Primates; Hominidae.
UAAUCUUUAAAAACCAUUAUUUCUCAUAAUGCAUUUAGAAUUAUGGUUCUCAACUCUGGCUGCAGAAAAACAAAAACCUGAUGUUUAGGUCUAGAAAAGACAAAUCUAGAGAUACUCAGAUUAAUGGCCACCUAGAGCUGGGAGUAGAAACAGGGAGUGACUAAAUAGACAUGAAGUUUCUUUUUGGGUGAUGGAAACAUUCUGGUUUGUAUGAUGUGGUAAGGGCUGCACAAGUCUUUAAAUUUACUAAAAUCAUAUAUUAAAAUAAGUGGAUUUUAUGGUAUAUAGAUUAUACCUCCAUAAAGCUGUUCAAAAAAACAUUGAUACUUGGGCUCCCUGUGAGAUACUUGCAAUUAGAUUGGUCUAGGAUGGGAGCGACAGGGAUGGUUUGUUUUUGAGGCAGAGUCUCCCUCUGUCACCUAGGCUGGAGUGCAGUGGCGCGAUCUCGGCUCACUGCAACCUCCGCCUCUACCGGGUUCAAUUGAUUCUCAUGCCUCAGCCUCCCAAGUAGCUAGGAUUACAGACAUGUAUAGUUCCACCUUUCAGAAUUGUAGGUUAAAAGCUAAAAGGAUAUUUUGAAUAUACACUUAAGAUGGAUAUGAAGUAAGUUGGAAUUGUCCAGGUAAGUCCAAGGAAGAAAGUGAAGGGAUUCAAAGUUAUAGCACAUAAGAAAAAAAAGACAUUAAACCAGAGGAGCUAGGGAUGAGAGGUGGAGAAGUAGAGAUAAUCGCUAUCCUCAAAUGUUGUAAAGCUGCCUAACAGAGAUGCAACUCAACUAGUUUUUCAUAUUCUCAACCAGGAUUGAUGAGGCUACAGGAAGAUAGAUUUCAGGUCGAUCUUCACAAUAAUCCUGCUCUAGGCGUUGUGUCAGAUCCUGGAGAUAUAUUCUACAGUGACUAUAUUCUAGUGGUCCUCAAACUUUGUGUUCGUCACAGUCACCUGCAGGGCUUGUUAAAACGCAGGUUGUUGGCCCCACUCCCAGAGUUUCUGUUUCAGGAGGUCUAGGGUAGGGCCUCAUAAUUUGCAUUUCUAAUGAAUUCCCAGAUGACGGUGAUGCUGUCCAUGCAGAAACCUCACUCUGAGGACCAGUGUCUAGUCUAAACGCUAUUAGAGCUCCAAGAAAGGACAUCUUAUUCAGAUUAGAUGGAGAGGAACAACCUGAAGGACUUCUCAGAGGAAUUUGGGGAUGAGCUGAAUUUUGAAGAAUGAGAAGGUAGUAAGGAGAAAAGGUAGAUGAGGUUAUGGCAGUCCAAACACAGAGAACAUUAGGGGAGCAAUAAUGUAUAGGAAGGAAUGAAGGCAUGAAACAGCAUUCCUUCAGGUUAUCUGUUGCAUGUUUACUCUAUGCAUUGUAUUGUUCCAGUUGCUGUGUAUGGAGGGAUAAAGGAAACAAAACCUCUGCUCUCAUGGAACUUUUACACAAAUAUGCCAUAUAUGGCAAAGUCCCCUAAUGGAAUAGAACAGGCCAUUGCAAGAGAGAACAUGGGGGCCUCUGAAGAGAUAACAUUUAAGCUGACAUCUUAAGAAUGAGCGAGCUGAGACUGUUGAGAGAUGCUGGUGAAAAUAACCAGGAAACCAUGAGCCUCCAGCCUAGCUGUCAACCACCCACCCACCAAUACCCAAGAAGUAAUGAAGAGAAAGGCCCUGUCUCAACCUAGGUCCAGAAGCACUAUCAAGGUUCCCAAGACAACCUUGAAAGGGAAGGGAGACCUCCAAGGG